AACGCACCUUGCGCCCCUUGGCCAUUCCGAGGGGCAUGCCUGUUUGAGUAUCAUGAACACCUCAACUCUCAUGGCUUGCCCGUGAUGAGCUUGGAAUUUGGGGGUUUUGCCGGCCUGUGGUUGGCUCCUCUCAAAUGAAUCAGCUUGCCAGUGUUUUGGUGGCGUCAUUGGUGUGAUAACUAUCUACGCUUGUGAUCGUCUGCCAAGUGACCUUCAGUGAAUGGAGGUUCGCUGGAGCUUACAGAUGUCUCUCCUCAGCGAAGACAGCUUUUCGAAUGUUCGAUCUCAAAUCAGGUAGGACUACCCGCUGAACUUAA
Molecule: unclassified non-coding RNA, 317 nt
Filed under: uncultured fungus
Lineage: Eukaryota; Fungi
Description: sequence contains ITS2
Source: RNAcentral